UGCAGUCGACGCACAGCGAAAGGUGCUUGCACCUUUCAAGUGAGUGGCGAACGGGUGAGUAACACGUGGACAACCUGCCUCAAGGCUGGGGAUAACAUUUGGAAACAGAUGCUAAUACCGAAUAAAACUUAGUAUCGCAUGAUACCAGGUUAAAAGGCGCUACGGCGUCACCUAGAGAUGGAUCCGCGGUGCAUUAGUUAGUUGGUGGGGUAAAGGCCUACCAAGACAAUGAUGCAUAGCCGAGUUGAGAGACUGAUCGGCCACAUUGGGACUGAGACACGGCCCAAACUCCUACGGGAGGCUGCAGUAGGGAAUCUUCCACAAUGGGCGAAAGCCUGAUGGAGCAACGCCGCGUGUGUGAUGAAGGCUUUCGGGUCGUAAAGCACUGUUGUAUGGGAAGAAAAGUUAAGGUAGGGAAUGACCUUAGCCUGACGGUACCAUACCAGAAAGGGACGGCUAAAUACGUGCCAGCAGCCGCGGUAAUACGUAUGUCCCGAGCGUUAUCCGGAUUUAUUGGGCGUAAAGCGAGCGCAGACGGUUGGUUAAGUCUGAUGUGAAAGCCCGGAGCUCAACUCCGGAAAGGCAUUGGAAACUGGUUAACUUGAGUGCAGUAGAGGUAAGUGGAACUCCAUGUGUAGCGGUGGAAUGCGUAGAUAUAUGGAAGAACACCAGCGGCGAAGGCGGCUUACUGGACUGUAACUGACGUUGAGGCUCGAAAGUGUGGGUAGCAAACAGGAUUAGAUACCCUGGUAGUCCACACCGUAAACGAUGAACACUAGGUGUUAGGAGGUUUCCGCCUCUUAGUGCCGAAGCUAACGCAUUAAGUGUUCCGCCUGGGGAGUACGACCGCAAGGUUGAAACUCAAAGGAA
Molecule: ribosomal RNA, 870 nt
Filed under: Leuconostoc carnosum
Lineage: Bacteria; Bacillati; Bacillota; Bacilli; Lactobacillales; Lactobacillaceae
Description: bacterial SSU rRNA
Rfam family: Bacterial small subunit ribosomal RNA
Source: RNAcentral